RNAcentral lists this ribosomal RNA (465 nucleotides) under Vreelandella stevensii. RNAcentral's name for it is "partial 16S ribosomal RNA". It matches the Rfam family "Bacterial small subunit ribosomal RNA", at positions 338 to 795 of the family's 1533-position model. The record is from RNAcentral. Lineage: Bacteria; Pseudomonadati; Pseudomonadota; Gammaproteobacteria; Oceanospirillales; Halomonadaceae.
CCUACGGGGGGCAGCAGUGGGGAAUAUUGGACAAUGGGGGGAACCCUGAUCCAGCCAUGCCGCGUGUGUGAAGAAGGCCCUCGGGUUGUAAAGCACUUUCAGUGAGGAAGAACGCCUGGUGGUUAAUACCCAUCAGGAAAGACAUCACUCACAGAAGAAGCACCGGCUAACUCCGUGCCAGCAGCCGCGGUAAUACGGAGGGUGCGAGCGUUAAUCGGAAUUACUGGGCGUAAAGCGCGCGUAGGUGGCUUGAUAAGCCGGUUGUGAAAGCCCCGGGCUCAACCUGGGAACGGCAUCCGGAAAUGUACAGCUAGGGGGCAAGAGGGGAAGGUAGAAUCCCCGGGGAGGCGGGGAAAUGCGGUGAGACCGGGAGGAAUACCAGUGGGGAAGGCGGCCUUCGGGACUGACACUGACACGGAGGUGCGAAAGCUUGGGUAGCAAACAGGAUUGGAUACCCGAGUAGUC